CCGUACCAGUUACACCCUAAUUAGCGGCAACCAGUUCGUCAGACGGUGCCCUCAGACAAGUGUCUCUUCUUUGGUUUCCAGCACGUCGAGCAGCGGGGACGCGACAGCUUUGGGGGAGAGGAAAGCCCUGGGCCGAGAGAAGUUCCCGGUGUCCCAAGCUAAGGCUCUAGCCAGACCAGAAUGGCUGCAGUGAUACAAUUUCCUAACGGGGACGCUGUUAGCGGAAGAUUUGGAAUACAAAAAUAUGGUUCUUUGCAUCCCUGGCGUGCUGUUCCCUCGGCAUCCUCGCAGGAAAUUUAAGCAGGCAGCAGCUUGGAUUCCAGGUCUGUUUCUGCUGGCCAGCGACAGCACGAGUGUCUGCAAACUGGGAUGUACUGGAGCUGCUGCCCUGUUGUCUGAAAUGGUAAAUCAUUCCUCAUUUUGUGAUCUCUCAGGGUUUUCCAAAAUCCUGGGAAAGGUGCCUCAGUGAAUAAGGACUUUCAAUUGCUCCAUGCACUGGUGUGAAGAAGUGAGGGGCUGGCUCAGCUCCUCUCUCAAUGUGCUCACUCCUACCAUGGACCACUAGCUGGACUCAUAAGACCAAACUGCUCCUGGCUGCUCUGUUACAUCUCGAAGGAGGUUACGUUUUUAUUCAGGGUAGUUUUUCCUGAUCAUCCUUUAGGAAAAAGUUUAUGAUGAAUGAAAAGAAACCACUUUUAAAAUGCAUUAAAUAUAGGUUGUGCUAGUUUAAAUGGGAUAAGUUUAAAUGUCUCCUGAAAUUAAACCAGUGCAUAUUUCUUCAAGAAAGUAGCCAGUAAAAUUACUGAAAGUCCAAAGGCAUGAUAGGAUGUAUGAGCAGGAGAUGGUGCAGUGCAUUAAUAGGAAAGCACAGCAGUGUUAUGAGAAACAGCAUUAAAUGUAAACAAGAGAUCUAUACAUCAAAAAUUUGCUUAGAAAAUGAGCAUUGCUUUUGUGGAGUGCUACAGCUAAAUUAAAUUUGGAGUUUUAACAAAUGUUUCUACCUUAAAGUUUAAUUAAAACAUAGUAGAUACUAAGAUUCAAUUUGCAAUUGUGCAAAUAUAAAGAAUAAUUAUUUGGGUUGGAAAAAAUAGAAAUCUAUCCAAUAUUACUUUUUUAUGAGUCACAGACUUUGUUGAUUUUAUCAGAGAACAUUCCAUGCAGUCCUCACUUAGUUGCCCUGCUCCUGAACUUCAUUUGCAUAUGACCAUCUCUGGAGUUUUCAUAACAGAAUGGAAAGUCCUGCAACUAGCCCUGACUAUGAAACAAAUUUUAUUGUCUAUUUUUCUAAUAUUGUGGUAUUAAUCUGGGUGUUUCCAUAAAAACCACCCUGGAGGAAACUGAAUUGCGUUGUAACUUUAGAAGACAAAAGUUACCUUGCCAGUGGAUGGAGAAAAUGGCAAGUAUUAUAAUUUGAAUAUACAUUUGUGCAUGGGUAAUCUGUAAAACAUUCAUUUGUAUUUCUCCCCACUCACUCCUUUUAAAUGGAGCCAUUUUAUAUACAUAAACACACAGGGUAAGGAAA
Long non-coding RNA from Hirundo rustica (Barn swallow), 1522 nucleotides. RefSeq lists it as uncharacterized. The transcript has 3 exons. NCBI's taxonomy places the organism in Eukaryota, Metazoa, Chordata, Aves, Passeriformes, Hirundinidae. The record is from RefSeq and is a predicted model, not a curated record.